AGGAAGGAGGGGACGACGUCAAGUCCUCAUGGCCCUUACGGGUUGGGCUACACACGUGCUACAAUGGUGGUGACAAUGGGAUAAUCCCCAAAAGUCAUCUCAGUUCGGAUUGGGGUCUGCAACUCGACCCCAUGAAGUCGGAAUCGCUAGUAAUCGCGUAACAGCAUGACGCGGUGAAUACGUUCCCGGGCCUUGUACACACCGCCCGUCACACCAUGGGAGUUGGGUCUACCCGAAGGUGGUGCGCUAACUCGCAAGAGAGGCAGCCAACCACGGUAGGCUCAGCGACUGGGGUGAAGUCGUAACAAGGUAGCCGUAGGGGAACCUGCGGCUGGAUCACCUCCUU
RNAcentral lists this ribosomal RNA (346 nucleotides) under uncultured bacterium. RNAcentral describes it as "bacterial SSU rRNA". It matches the Rfam family "Bacterial small subunit ribosomal RNA", at positions 1167 to 1532 of the family's 1533-position model. The record is from RNAcentral.